UACGGGGGGGGCAAGCGUUGUUCAGAAUUACUGGGCGUAAAGGGCUCGUAGGUGGCCAACUAAGUCGGACGUGAAAUCCCUCGGCUUAACCGGGGAACUGCGUCUGAUACUGGAUGGCUUGAGUUCGGGAGAGGGAUGCGGAAUUCCAGGUGUAGCGGUGAAAUGCGUAGAUAUCUGGAGGAACACCGGUGGCGAAGGCGGCAUCCUGGACCGACACUGACGCUGAGGAGCGAAAGCCAGGGGAGCAAACGGG
Molecule: ribosomal RNA, 253 nt
Filed under: uncultured bacterium
Lineage: Bacteria
Description: partial 16S ribosomal RNA
Rfam family: Bacterial small subunit ribosomal RNA
Source: RNAcentral